RNAcentral lists this ribosomal RNA (497 nucleotides) under uncultured bacterium. RNAcentral's name for it is "partial 16S ribosomal RNA". It matches the Rfam family "Bacterial small subunit ribosomal RNA", at positions 28 to 507 of the family's 1533-position model. The record is from RNAcentral.
GAUGAACGCUGGCGGCGUGCCUAACACAUGCAAGUCGAGCGAACGGACGAGAAGCUUGCUCCGCUGAUGUUAGCGGCGGACGGGUGAGUAACACGUGGAUAACCUACCUAUAAGACUGGGAUAACUUCGGGAAACCGUAGCUAAUACGGGAAAAUAUUUUGAACCUAAUGGUUCAAAAGUGAAAGACGGUCUUGCUGUCACUUAUAGAUGGAUCCGCGCUGCAUUAGCUAGUUGGUAAGGUAACGGCUUACCAAGCUGACGAUGCAUAGCCGACCUCAAAGGGUGGACGAGCAGACUGGAUCUGAGACUCGGCCCAGACACCGGCAGUGAGAAGCAGUCGGAAAUCUUACGCGAUGGACGAGAGCCUGACGGAGCGAAACGGCGGAAGUGCUGAAGGUCUUAGGAUGGUAAAACUCUGUUAUUAGGGGGAAUCAUAUAUGUUAUUAACUGUGCCGAUAAUGACGGUACCUAAUCAAGAAGCCCCGGCUAACUACGUG